Drosophila albomicans is the source of this 2300-nucleotide long non-coding RNA. RefSeq lists it as uncharacterized. The record is from RefSeq and is a predicted model, not a curated record. NCBI's taxonomy places the organism in Eukaryota, Metazoa, Arthropoda, Insecta, Diptera, Drosophilidae. The transcript is spliced from 2 exons.
UGUCCACACGUCCAGUCAAGUCGCCGUUGUCGUUGUCGUUGCCCGUUUUGUUCUUACUCGUAUUGUCUCUCUCUCUCGCUCUCUCUCUUUCGUGAUCUCGUCCAUCACGCGGGAUUCGCACUCGUUCUUGGGCUGCACUCGUGUCGUUCAGCCCACUUCGGCUAAUUUACCGUUUGAAAACUGUUUGCACUUCGCCUGUUACAAAAUACUCGUUUUGCGCCUCGAACUAAUUAAGUGUACUAUCGAUAUUGCUAUCGAUAAACUUGUGUGUGUUUGACAUGUGAACCACCGCAGUUCAGUUGUGUGCAUUUUACAUAUUGCAAAAGCUUUUGCAGAAAGCUCUCGAAUAACGGUGUUAGAUGAGAUCAAAGAACGCAUGUAACAUGCCAAGCACUAUCAGAGCAUUUCACCACAGACACAAACAGACAGACUUGGGGAAAUUCCCCAGCUGACACACAUAUACAGACUCACACGCAUGUGUAAAUGGAAGGAAAGUUUGCUUAAGGGUAGGAAAAGCUGCGCAACAAUGCCGCGCGCGUUUUUCCAGUUUUUCCUGUCGUAUGCACUUGGCAUUAUGCCUACUAACCCUAUUUAGCAGCGCAGCGAGUCCCAUUUUUCGACUGCAUGCAGAACACAAACACACAUACACACAAACACACACAUCGACACACACACAGAUGGAGAAUCGUGGUUGGCAUUGCGAAUUUUCCCAUGGCAGAGUCCUUUUUCCAAGCAGCUGAGCCGAGCUGCUGAAAGGCGAAACGGAAAGUGCGGCAACGAAAUGUGAAAUGUGUUUUUGUGGCGCACUUGAAUUUGGGACACAUUCCUGCAAAGGACGCAACGCAAAAGGAUACGCGGCCAACAAAGCGCAACCACAAAAAAUACAAAAAAAAAAACACACACACACAUAUAUAUGGAAGAUGAAAAACACUUCAAGUGCAAUUAGUUAAAUUAAAGUGCGUAAAUAAAUUAGAAAAUAUGAAAUGAAAAUAUUUGAAUUGAAUAUGUGAAAAGCAAACAGCAAAGUGUGUGUGAUAAACAAUGGAAAAACCUGUGGAAAACUGCAGUUGCAGUUGCAACCGAUAAAUAAAACACAAAAUGAAAUGCAGUUAAAUAAAUUCAAAAUUUGAAAUUAAACAGAAAAUGCAAUAAUAAUUGUUAAUUGCAAUGCAUUUGAAUAUUAAAUAUUAAUUGCAAAACUCGAAAAGCGAAAGCAGUGCAUUAACAUUGUGUGAGUGUGUGCGAGUGUGUGUGUGUGAGGGAUUUGCAUAUGUGUGCGUGCUGAAAAAUCGAUUAUUAAAGCCACCAGCUGGUGGUUGUUGUUGCCGCUUUGUGCGGUGGUUGGCGGCUGCGGGGGUGGUUUGUUGUUGCUCCCCGAUUUACUUGGUCAAACUGCAGCAACAACAACAGCAACAGCAACAACAGCAACUGCUAGGGUUGCGUGCCGCAAUGUGGAAAACAAGCAGCGACUGCGACGCCAGCGGCAGCAGCGGCAGCGACACACUUCCAGUGACAAAUUCCAAUGGCGCCUUGCAGCCUUGCAGCGGCAGCGACAGCGACAAUAACAACAGCACGUUGCAGCGCCAGGAUAUGACAGCAACAACAACAACAACUACAACAAUAUCAGCAGCAGCAGCAACAGCAACAGCAGCAAUUGUGGCAGCAUUUGCCAGUUACGGCCACAGAUACACACUUGCAACAGCAGCAGCAACGACAGCAACAGCAGCAGCACAAUAGCCCAAUCUAAGGAGCAAACUUAUUGCAACAAAUCAAAUGCAUUUCGGCAGCGAGCAACAGCAACAGCAACAGCAACAACAAACACCAACAACACAUAAACGCGACUGAUUUACUGUGCAAUAAAAAACCAAAAAAUAAAAAUAUAAAUACAAAAAACACUGACAGCAAACGCACAAAAUAAAAACAAAACGCAGCGCGCUGCAGCAAAUUAAGUAUACGACGCAUAUUCCACGCGAUACAGUGCAAGCCCAAAGAAAAUAUAUACAAAAAAAUAGAGACAACAUAACAAUAAUAAAAAGCAAAAAGAAAUUGAAAAUAAUAAGAAAAAUAUUCAAAAACAAAGCAGAGAAAUAAAUGAAAUGCGCGAAAAAAUAUAUUAAAUAAAUAUUCAAAGCAAAGUUGCAGAGAAAUGAAUGAAAUGCAUGUAGAAAUACAAUAAAUAAAUAUGAAAAAAAAAACAACACAGAAAUGAAUGAAAGAAUAAAUUUAAAAUAAAUAAAUGAAUGUAUGGAAAAAGUCAAUAAAUAAAUGAACGAAAAUAAAAGUAUUGUAAAAGCAAAAAA